Vicugna pacos (alpaca) is the source of this 168-nucleotide non-coding RNA. NCBI's taxonomy places the organism in Eukaryota, Metazoa, Chordata, Mammalia, Artiodactyla, Camelidae. The record is from RefSeq and is a predicted model, not a curated record.
AGCCGGGCUGUGCUAACAAGAUAACUCACAAAUCUAAGGGGGAAUGCGAAGGAAAAGCCGGGCUGGUCUAACAAGAUAACUCACAAAUCUAAGUGUCGGAAUACUGAUCUGAGUUCUGCUGGACUAACUCAUAAAUCCAAGUUAAUUAGUGUUGUCUUGCUGUUUCCC